RNAcentral lists this ribosomal RNA (302 nucleotides) under uncultured bacterium. Its description in RNAcentral is "partial 16S ribosomal RNA". It matches the Rfam family "Bacterial small subunit ribosomal RNA", at positions 508 to 808 of the family's 1533-position model. The record is from RNAcentral.
GCAGUAGCCGCGGUAAUACGUAGGUCCCGAGCGUUGUCCGGAUUUAUUGGGCGUAAAGCGAGCGCAGGCGGUUAGAUAAGUCUGAAGUUAAAGGCUGUGGCUUAACCAUAGUACGCUUUGGAAACUGUUUAACUUGAGUGCAAGAGGGGAGAGUGGAAUUCCAUGUGUAGCGGUGAAAUGCGUAGAUAUAUGGAGGAACACCGGUGGCGAAAGCGGCUCUCUGGCUUGUAACCGACGCUGAGGCUCGAAAGCGUGGGGAGCAAACAGGAUUAGAUACCCCCGUAGUCCCUGUCUCUUAUACA